Molecule: ribosomal RNA, 695 nt
Filed under: uncultured Fusobacteriota bacterium
Lineage: Bacteria; Fusobacteriati; Fusobacteriota
Description: bacterial SSU rRNA
Rfam family: Bacterial small subunit ribosomal RNA
Source: RNAcentral
GAUGAACGCUGACAGAAUGCUUAACACAUGCAAGUCAACUUGAAUUUGGGUUUUUAACUUAGAUUUGGGUGGCGGACGGGUGAGUAACGCGUAAAGAACUUGCCUCACAGCUAGGGACAACAUUUAGAAAUGAAUGCUAAUACCUGAUAUUAUGAUUUUAAGGCAUCUUAGAAUUAUGAAAGCUAUAAGCACUGUGAGAGAGCUUUGCGUCCCAUUAGCUAGUUGGAGAGAUAACAGCUCACCAAGGCGAUGAUGGGUAGCCGGCCUGAGAGGGUGAACGGCCACAAGGGGACUGAGACACGGCCCUUACUCCUACGGGAGGCAGCAGUGGGGAAUAUUGGACAAUGGACCGAGAGUCUGAUCCAGCAAUUCUGUGUGCACGAUGAAGUUUUUCGGAAUGUAAAGUGCUUUCAGUUGGGAAGAAAAAAAUGACGGUACCAACAGAAGAAGUGACGGCUAAAUACGUGCCAGCAGCCGCGGUAAUACGUAUGUCACGAGCGUUAUCCGGAUUUAUUGGGCGUAAAGCGCGUCUAGGUGGUUAUGUAAGUCUGAUGUGAAAAUGCAGGGCUCAACUCUGUAUUGCGUUGGAAACUGUAUAACUAGAGUACUGGAGAGGUAAGCGGAACUACAAGUGUAGAGGUGAAAUUCGUAGAUAUUUGUAGGAAUGCCGAUGGGGAAGCCAGCUUACUGGACAG